CCAAAACCUCCACUAUAACCAUCAAGAAUUACAAUAUUAUUCUCCAAAAUGGCCACAAAACAAGUUUCAAAUAACGAGCAACAACACAACAAAAUAACACCAAAACUAGAGAAUAAAAAGGAGCACAAACACCAAAAAUGUAGCUGCUGUCCGGGAAUAAAAAACAGGAGCUAUAGACCAUCAAAUUCAACCCCGUCAGUUUUUAAUCAAAGAUUGAGAUGAGAGGAACAAGCUGUCCAAAAAUUAGCUCAAUCGGACAAGAAACGAAGCAAAAAUCGUAAUUUGAAGUUGACUGCUGUGACUGGAAUUUUAGUGCGAAAAUCUAACCUAAUCUCUUUUGUGGCUGCUAAGAACUCUUUUGUGGAUGUGAAAUAAGACCUAAAAAGUUCUCUCUCUCUACAUAUAUAUAUAUAUAUAUAUCCUAGUUUUUCACCACUUAUAAUACUCUAUUGAAUCUAGGUGGUCUAGUGGUAGACUGACCCCUUCUUCAAGAUUUGGAGGACCAGCCAUGUUCAAGAUCCUUUCAAGAUGUUAACCUUAUUUAGGAAGAUCCCGCUCUGAUAUCAAUUAAGGAGUUCACGCGAGUUGUCCUCCAACUUUGGGACCUGGUCCCAAACAAACUUAAACAACAAGAAUAGUAAAGUACGUGAAAGCGAGAGUAAAGGAUACAAUAAUUUUAUGUGGAAACUCCUUGCUCAAGGAAGAAAAACCACGACCUGCAUUCAGACUUCUAAGCUCCAAUAAUAUGCAAGCAACUUGAAUCAAAUCCAUUACAUUAAGGAUUAACCUCCUAAUCCUUCUUCUCCUAGUAAUACCUUUAUUACAAUGAGAAAUUUGCAGUAACUUUACUGCAUCACUAUCUAACUAACUCUAAUUGAGUAAAAGCUAAUUCUAACUUUAAUAUCACCUAACUCUAGAUGAGAACAAGGAGUUUGAAGUAAACACACCAAUACCUACUAAUAACAAUGACAAACAAUAGGCAACAUUUAAGACCACCAUACAAAAACUCAAAUACAAUAAGAAAAUAAAAUACAACUUUGGGAGCUAAGAGAGAGAGAUCUUUCUUAUAAUACAACUUUGGGAGCUAAGAGAGAGAGAUCUUUUUAGGUCUUGUUUCAGACCAUACAUGUCAUAUAUAUAUAUAUAUACACACACACAUACAUAUAUUUAUAUAUAUAUGCCCCAUAGUAAUGGGUCUAUCGGCAAAAGUGGGUUGGUCCAAACUGAACUUUAUUUAUCCACAUAGGAAGGGACAAAGACCCAUAUCCCAACACCAUCAGAACCUUCACGGGUCGUGUUGUCCGUGGGACAGAAUAAGUAAGGAUAUCUCAUGAUAUUAUUUUAUCCACCUUUUAUAUGAGAUAGUAAUCCCGCCAUUUUAGUACAAAUAUUGGGAUAAGUUAAUACCUC
This 1410-nucleotide long non-coding RNA is filed under the name Capsicum annuum. RNAcentral's name for it is "long non-coding RNA (CANN_LNC020995)". The record is from RNAcentral. Lineage: Eukaryota; Viridiplantae; Streptophyta; Magnoliopsida; Solanales; Solanaceae.